RNAcentral lists this ribosomal RNA (274 nucleotides) under uncultured bacterium. RNAcentral's name for it is "partial 16S ribosomal RNA". It matches the Rfam family "Bacterial small subunit ribosomal RNA", at positions 523 to 796 of the family's 1533-position model. The record is from RNAcentral.
AUACGGAGGGUGCAAGCGUUGUUCGGAAUUACUGGGCGUAAAGCGCGCGUAGGCGGUCUGUUAUGUCAGAUGUGAAAGUCCUCGGCUCAACCGGGGAAGUGCAUUUGAAACUGGCAGACUUGAGUACUGGAGGGGGUGGUGGAAUUCCCGGUGUAGAGGUGAAAUUCGUAGAUAUCGGGAGGAAUACCGGUGACGAAGGCGACCACCUGGCCAGAUACUGACGCUGAGGUGCGAAAGCGUGGGGAGCAAACAGGAUUAGAUACCCCAGUAGUCC